RNAcentral lists this ribosomal RNA (501 nucleotides) under uncultured eukaryote. RNAcentral describes it as "bacterial SSU rRNA". It matches the Rfam family "Eukaryotic small subunit ribosomal RNA", at positions 13 to 493 of the family's 1831-position model. The record is from RNAcentral.
CCUGACGGUAGUCGUAUGCUCGUCUCCGAGACUAAGCCAUGCAAGUCCAAGUACACGUCCUUGAACGACGGAAACUGCGAACGGCUCAUUAAAUCAGUUGCGAUCUACUCGGCGUUCCGCGCCGCCGGAUAACCGUAGUAAUUCUAGGGCUAAUACGUGCGAAGCGCCCGAAGCCGCGAGGCGACGGGCGUUCUCGCCGGAUGUAGGAACCGACCCGGGGACCGCCGGGGCAACCCGGCGCCCCCGAGACGGGGCGAACCACGGUGAAAUGACGGAUCGUCGGCCCCGCGCCGGCGACUCGCCGAAUGAGUUUCUGACCUAUCAACUCGAGACGGCGGGGUAGAGGCCCGCCGCGGUAACGACGGGUAACGGGGAAGUCAGGGUUCGAUUCCGGAGAGGGAGCCCGAGAAACGGCUACCACUUCCAAGGAAGGCAGCAGGCGCGCAACUUACCCUAAUCUCGAUUCGAGGAGGUAGUGACAAGAAUACCGAUGCGGGACCC